This 503-nucleotide ribosomal RNA is filed under the name uncultured Glomeromycotina. RNAcentral's name for it is "partial small subunit ribosomal RNA". It matches the Rfam family "Eukaryotic small subunit ribosomal RNA", at positions 591 to 1092 of the family's 1831-position model. The record is from RNAcentral. Lineage: Eukaryota; Fungi; Glomeromycota.
CCAAUAGCGUAUAUUAAAGUUGCUGCAGUUAAAAAGCUCGUAGUUGAAUUUCGGGACCAAUAUGUCGGUCGUGCCUCGGUACGUACUAGCAUCGUUGGUUUCUCCCUCCCUUCUGACGAACCAUGAUGUCAUUUAUUUGGUGUCAUGGGGAAUCAGGACUGUUACUUUGAAAAAAUUAGAGUGUUUAAAGCAGGCUCACGCUUGAAUACAUUAGCAUGGAAUAAUGAAAUAGGACGUUUGAUUCUAUUUUGUUGGUUUCUAGGAUCGACGUAAGGAUUAAUAGGGAUAGUUGGGGGCAUUAGUAUUCAAUUGUCAGAGGUGAAAUUCUUGGAUUUAUUGAAGACUAACUACUGCGAAAGCAUUUGCCAAGGAUGUUUUCAUUAAUCAAGAACGAAAGUUAGGGGAUCGAAGACGAUCAGAUACCGUCGUAGUCUUAACCAUAAACUAUGCCGACUAGGGAUCGGAUGAUGUUAAUUUUUUAAUGACUCAUUCGGCGCCUUACG